AUGGCCUGGACUCCUCUGCUCCUCGCGCUCCUCUCUCACUGCACAGGGUCCCUCUCCCAGUUUGUGCUGACUCAGCCGCCCUCCCUCUCGGCAUCUCUGGGAGCCACAGCCACACUCACCUGCACCCUGAGCAGUGGCUUCAGUCUUGGUGGUUCCUGGAUAUCCUGGUACCAGCAGAAGCCAGGGAGCCCUCCCCGGUACCUCCUUGUAUAUAAAUCAGACUCAGAGAAGUAUUAUGGCUACGCGGACCCCAACCGUUUCUCUGGCUCCAAAGACACGUCGGCCAAUGCGAUGCUCCUGCUAAUCUCAGGGCUGCAGCCUGAGGAUGAGGCUGACUAUUACUGCACUACAGGUCAUGGCAGUGGGAGCAGCUACCGUUAG
Non-coding RNA from Myotis daubentonii (Daubenton's bat), 381 nucleotides. Lineage: Eukaryota; Metazoa; Chordata; Mammalia; Chiroptera; Vespertilionidae. The record is from the annotation of a RefSeq genome assembly.